This 224-nucleotide non-coding RNA is filed under the name Viridibacillus arenosi. Its description in RNAcentral is "T-box sequence". It matches the Rfam family "T-box leader". Rfam says of the family: Uncharged tRNA acts as the effector for transcription antitermination of genes in the T-box leader family. T-boxes are found upstream of many aminoacyl-tRNA synthetase genes and some amino acid biosynthetic genes usually in Gram-positive bacteria. Lineage: Bacteria; Bacillati; Bacillota; Bacilli; Caryophanales; Caryophanaceae. The record is from RNAcentral.
AAAAAAGCGUUGAAGAGGAGAAGUAUGUAGAGCAAGCUCUUUAGAGAGGACCAUCACCGGCUGAAAGUGGUCUGAGCCAAUGUAAUACAGAAAUGCACCUCUGAGCACUAAGCUGAACUUUAAGUAGGCUUAGUCGGUAAGUCACCGUUAUAGACUUUAAGCGGGAAGUAUUUCUUUAGAUGCUUCCAACCAGAGUGGAACCGCGCAUAUCCAGCGUCUCUGUC